GUAAACGGCGGCCGUAACUAUAACGGUCCUAAGGUAGCGAAAUUCCUUGUCGGGUAAGUUCCGACCUGCACGAAUGGCGUAAUGAUGGCCAGGCUGUCUCCACCCGAGACUCAGUGAAAUUGAACUCGCUGUGAAGAUGCAGUGUACCCGCGGCAAGACGGAAAGACCCCGUGAACCUUUACUAUAGCUUGACACUGAACAUUGAGCCUUGAUGUGUAGGAUAGGUGGGAGGCUUUGAAGUGUGGACGCCAGUCUGCAUGGAGCCGACCUUGAAAUACCACCCUUUAAUGUUUGAUGUUCUAACGUUGGCCCCUAAUCGGGGUUGCGGACAGUGUCUGGUGGGUAGUUUGACUGGGGCGGUCUCCUCCUAAAGAGUAACGGAGGAGCACGAAGGUUGGCUAAUCCUGGUCGGACAUCAGGAGGUUAGUGCAAUGGCAUAAGCCAGCUUGACUGCGAGCGUGACGGCGCGAGCAGGUGCGAAAGCAGGUCAUAGUGAUCCGGUGGUUCUGAAUGGAAGGGCCAUCGCUCAACGGAUAAAAGGUACUCCGGGGAUAACAGGCUGAUACCGCCCAAGAGUUCAUAUCGACGGCGGUGUUUGGCACCUCGAUGUCGGCUCAUCACAUCCUGGGGCUGAAGUAGGUCCCAAGGGUAUGGCUGUUCGCCAUUUAAAGUGGUACGCGAGCUGGGUUUAGAACGUCGUGAGACAGUUCGGUCCCUAUCUGCCGUGGGCGCUGGAGAACUGAGGGGGGCUGCUCCUAGUACGAGAGGACCGGAGUGGACGCAUCACUGGUGUUCGGGUUGUCAUGCCAAUGGCACUGCCCGGUAGCUAAAUGCGGAAGAGAUAAGUGCUGAAAGCAUCUAAGCACGAAACUUGCC
This 876-nucleotide ribosomal RNA is filed under the name human gut metagenome. RNAcentral describes it as "bacterial LSU rRNA". It matches the Rfam family "Bacterial large subunit ribosomal RNA", at positions 1923 to 2798 of the family's 2925-position model. The record is from RNAcentral.